RNAcentral lists this transfer RNA (89 nucleotides) under Trichosporon asahii var. asahii CBS 8904. It matches the Rfam family "tRNA". Rfam says of the family: Transfer RNA (tRNA) molecules are approximately 80 nucleotides in length. Their secondary structure includes four short double-helical elements and three loops (D, anti-codon, and T loops). Lineage: Eukaryota; Fungi; Basidiomycota; Tremellomycetes; Trichosporonales; Trichosporonaceae. The record is from Rfam by way of RNAcentral.
GCCUACUUAGCUCAGUGGCCAGAGCGUUGGUUUUCGGCUCCUCUUCCGAAUAUCGCCAACGGUCGCAGGUUCGACCCCUGUAGUAGGCU